Molecule: long non-coding RNA, 923 nt
Filed under: Mytilus galloprovincialis (Mediterranean mussel)
Lineage: Eukaryota; Metazoa; Mollusca; Bivalvia; Mytilida; Mytilidae
Source: RNAcentral
CAUAUUAAACAUACACAACAAGAAUGUGUCCAUAGUACACGGAUGCCCCACUCGCACUAUAAUUUUCCAUGUUCAGUGGACCGUGAAAUUGGGGUCAAAACUUUAAUUUGGAAUUAAAAUUAGAAAGAUCAUAUCAUAGGGAACAUGUGUACUAAGUUUCAAGUAGUUGUGACUUUAACUUCAUCGAAAACUACCUUGACCAAAAACUUUAACCUGAACUUCGCACUUUCAUUUUCUAUGUUCAGUUGACCAUGAAAUUGGGGUCAAAACUAUAAUUUGGCAUUAAAAUUAGAAAGAUCAUAUCAUGGGGAAAAUGUGUACUAAGUUUCAAGUGGAUUGGACUUCAACUUCAUCAAAAACUACCUUGACCAAAAACUUUAACCUGAAGUCGGACGAACGAACGAACGAACGAACGAACGGACGAACGGAGGCACAGACCAGAAAACAUAAUGCCCCUCUACUAUCGUAGGUGGGGCAUAAUAAAAAGCAUCAAAAUUUAUAACAAACUGUUAAGAGUCCCCUAUCUUCAGUUCUAAUGACCUUUUCAAGAAGGAUCCUAACUUAUUUGUUUGUAGAGGCGUUGAUGGAUUUAGUAAAUAAUGCAUUUUUUCUUCUUAGGUUAUAUUAUUAAAGUUAUUAUUUUCAGUACAUAUCUGUUGAAAAAAUCAUUUCUUAGCGUUUUAUUAUAAUCACAAUAGAGUAAAACAAUGUUUCUCAUUCUCUUGCAUUUUACAUUUAUGGCAAAGUCGUUCCUUUCUUGGGAUUUUAAAAUAUCUCCCUUUUUCAAUCAAGAGGGAGUGAUCACGUAUUCUAAAUUUAGUGAUUAAUCUCCUUAUCUGAAAAUUAGUUGUAUUUAGCAUUUUUAACUUUAUAUAUUUUUUUAUUUUAUGUACAUCUUUUAUGUUCUUACAAGUAGAAAGAAU